Molecule: non-coding RNA, 356 nt
Organism: Paramuricea clavata
Lineage: Eukaryota; Metazoa; Cnidaria; Anthozoa; Malacalcyonacea; Plexauridae
Source: the annotation of a GenBank genome assembly
CUCUUUAACCUAUUAACUUUAUAUAUUAAACAACAGGAAUUCACAUUUGUAUACAGUACAUUGGGAAGUGUUCUAGCUACCGUAGUCUACUCAAUGUACUGUCAUGCAUUAUGUUUGGACAUAGUUGAAUUAUGUUCAAGAGUCGGGCGGCGUGUUACAACAUUUCAAUCUCAGAGAUUUUUCGGGGAUUCUGACUAAACUAGUAAAGAAUCGUGGUAAGCCAAUGCUGCUAACGUACGCGCACCUAUCUACAUUACCGUACAGUACAUUAUCUACAUGACGGGGGGGGGGGGGGUCACUAAGAUUUCUGCUCUAAUCUAGGGGUGGGCCACCUCAAUUUAUUGUCACAAUUUGGG